This 433-nucleotide ribosomal RNA is filed under the name uncultured bacterium. Its description in RNAcentral is "partial 16S ribosomal RNA". It matches the Rfam family "Bacterial small subunit ribosomal RNA", at positions 29 to 507 of the family's 1533-position model. The record is from RNAcentral.
AACGAACGCUGGCGGCAUGCCUAACACAUGCAAGUCGAACGAGACCUUCGGGUCUAGUGGCGCACGGGUUCGUAACGCGUGGGAACCUGCACUUAGGUUCGGCAUAACUCCCCGAAAGGGGUGCUAAUACCGGGUAAUAUCUUCGGACCAAAGAGUUAUCGCCUUUGGGUGGGCGCGCGUUGGAUUAGCUAGUUGGUAGGGUAAAAGCCUCCAAAGGCGAGGAUCCAUAGCUGGUCUGUGAGGAUGAUCAGCCACACUGGGAGUGGGACACGGCCCAGACUCCUACGCGAGGCAGCAGUGGGGAAUAUUGGACAAUGGGCGAUGGCAUGAACCAGCAAGGCCGGGUGAGUGCUGAAGGCCGUAGGGUUGUAAAGCUCGUUUACCCGGGGGGAUAAUGACAGUACCGGGAGAAUAAGCACCGGCUAACUCCGUG